This 253-nucleotide ribosomal RNA is filed under the name uncultured bacterium. Its description in RNAcentral is "partial 16S ribosomal RNA". It matches the Rfam family "Bacterial small subunit ribosomal RNA", at positions 524 to 776 of the family's 1533-position model. The record is from RNAcentral.
UACAGAGGGUGCGAGCGUUAAUCGGAAUUACUGGGCGUAAAGCGUGCGUAGACGGUUAUUUAAGUCGGGUGUGAGAGCCCCGGGCUCAACCUGGGAAUUGCAUUCGAGACUGAAUAGCUAGGGUACGGUAGAGGGAAGUGGAAUUUCCGGUGUAGCGGUGAAAUGCGUAGAUAUCGGAAGGAACAUCAGUGGCGAAAGCGACUUCCUGGACCAGUACCGACGUUCAGGCACGAAAGCGUGGGGAGCAAACAGG